RNAcentral lists this ribosomal RNA (492 nucleotides) under uncultured bacterium. RNAcentral's name for it is "partial 16S ribosomal RNA". It matches the Rfam family "Bacterial small subunit ribosomal RNA", at positions 30 to 507 of the family's 1533-position model. The record is from RNAcentral.
AUUGAACGCUGGCGGCAUGCUUUACACAUGCAAGUCGAACGGUAACAGGCCUUCGGGUGCUGACGAGUGGCGAACGGGUGAGUAAUGCAUCGGAACGUGCCCAGAGGUGGGGGAUAACGCAGCGUAAGCUGUGCUAAUACCGCAUGUGAUCUGAGGAUGAAAGCGGGGGACCAGGCAGCAAUGUUUGGCCUCGCGCCUUUGGAGCGGCCGAUGUCAGAUUAGGUAGUUGGUGGGGUAAAGGCCUACCAAGCCGACGAUCUGUAGCUGGUCUGAGAGGACGACCAGCCACACUGGGACUGAGACACGGCCCAGACUCCUACGGGAGGCAGCAGUGGGGAAUGUUGGACAAUGGGCGCAAGCCUGAUCCAGCAAUGCCGCGUGAGGGAAGAAGGCCUUCGGGUUGUAAAACGCUUUUGUACGGAACGAAAAGGCUCUGGCUAAUACCUGGGGAUGAUGACGGUACCGUAAGAAUAAGCACCGGCUAACUACGUG